This 1426-nucleotide ribosomal RNA is filed under the name Lactiplantibacillus plantarum. Its description in RNAcentral is "bacterial SSU rRNA". It matches the Rfam family "Bacterial small subunit ribosomal RNA". The record is from RNAcentral. Lineage: Bacteria; Bacillati; Bacillota; Bacilli; Lactobacillales; Lactobacillaceae.
UCGAACGAACUCUGGUAUUGAUUGGUGCUUGCAUCAUGAUUUACAUUUGAGUGAGUGGCGAACUGGUGAGUAACACGUGGGAAACCUGCCCAGAAGCGGGGGAUAACACCUGGAAACAGAUGCUAAUACCGCAUAACAACUUGGACCGCAUGGUCCGAGUUUGAAAGAUGGCUUCGGCUAUCACUUUUGGAUGGUCCCGCGGCGUAUUAGCUAGAUGGUGGGGUAACGGCUCACCAUGGCAAUGAUACGUAGCCGACCUGAGAGGGUAAUCGGCCACAUUGGGACUGAGACACGGCCCAAACUCCUACGGGAGGCAGCAGUAGGGAAUCUUCCACAAUGGACGAAAGUCUGAUGGAGCAACGCCGCGUGAGUGAAGAAGGGUUUCGGCUCGUAAAACUCUGUUGUUAAAGAAGAACAUAUCUGAGAGUAACUGUUCAGGUAUUGACGGUAUUUAACCAGAAAGCCACGGCUAACUACGUGCCAGCAGCCGCGGUAAUACGUAGGUGGCAAGCGUUGUCCGGAUUUAUUGGGCGUAAAGCGAGCGCAGGCGGUUUUUUAAGUCUGAUGUGAAAGCCUUCGGCUCAACCGAAGAAGUGCAUCGGAAACUGGGAAACUUGAGUGCAGAAGAGGACAGUGGAACUCCAUGUGUAGCGGUGAAAUGCGUAGAUAUAUGGAAGAACACCAGUGGCGAAGGCGGCUGUCUGGUCUGUAACUGACGCUGAGGCUCGAAAGUAUGGGUAGCAAACAGGAUUAGAUACCCUGGUAGUCCAUACCGUAAACGAUGAAUGCUAAGUGUUGGAGGGUUUCCGCCCUUCAGUGCUGCAGCUAACGCAUUAAGCAUUCCGCCUGGGGAGUACGGCCGCAAGGCUGAAACUCAAAGGAAUUGACGGGGGCCCGCACAAGCGGUGGAGCAUGUGGUUUAAUUCGAAGCUACGCGAAGAACCUUACCAGGUCUUGACAUACUAUGCAAAUCUAAGAGAUUAGACGUUCCCUUCGGGGACAUGGAUACAGGUGGUGCAUGGUUGUCGUCAGCUCGUGUCGUGAGAUGUUGGGUUAAGUCCCGCAACGAGCGCAACCCUUAUUAUCAGUUGCCAGCAUUAAGUUGGGCACUCUGGUGAGACUGCCGGUGACAAACCGGAGGAAGGUGGGGAUGACGUCAAAUCAUCAUGCCCCUUAUGACCUGGGCUACACACGUGCUACAAUGGAUGGUACAACGAGUUGCGAACUCGCGAGAGUAAGCUAAUCUCUUAAAGCCAUUCUCAGUUCGGAUUGUAGGCUGCAACUCGCCUACAUGAAGUCGGAAUCGCUAGUAAUCGCGGAUCAGCAUGCCGCGGUGAAUACGUUCCCGGGCCUUGUACACACCGCCCGUCACACCAUGAGAGUUUGUAACACCCAAAGUCGGUGGGGUAACCUUUUAGGAACCAGC